RNAcentral lists this ribosomal RNA (443 nucleotides) under uncultured bacterium. RNAcentral describes it as "partial 16S ribosomal RNA". It matches the Rfam family "Bacterial small subunit ribosomal RNA", at positions 338 to 795 of the family's 1533-position model. The record is from RNAcentral.
CCUACGGGUGGCAGCAGUGGGGAAUAUUGGGCAAUGGGCGCAAGCCUGACUCAGCAACGCCGCGUGAAGGAAGAAGGCCCUCGGGUUGUAAACUUCUUUUAUUCGGGACGAAACAAAUGACGGUACCGAAUGAAUAAGCCACGGCUAACUACGUGCCAGCAGCCGCGGUAAUACGUAGGUGGCAAGCGUUAUCCGGAUUUGCUGGGUGUAAAGGGCGUGUAGGCGGGAGAGCAAGUCAGACGUGAAAUUCCAGGGCUCAACCCUGGCACUGCGUUUGAAACUGUUCGUCUUGAGUGAUGGAGAAGCAGGCGGAAUGCGGGGUGUAGCGGUGAAAUGCGUAGAUAUAGGGAGGAACACCGAUGGCGAAGGCGGCAUGCUGGACAUUAACUGACGCUGAGGCGCGAAAGCGUGGGGAGCGAACAGGAUUAGAUACCCGAGUAGUC